Molecule: transfer RNA, 73 nt
Filed under: Camelus bactrianus (Bactrian camel)
Lineage: Eukaryota; Metazoa; Chordata; Mammalia; Artiodactyla; Camelidae
Also listed under: 3 other names
Rfam family: tRNA
About the family: Transfer RNA (tRNA) molecules are approximately 80 nucleotides in length. Their secondary structure includes four short double-helical elements and three loops (D, anti-codon, and T loops). Further hydrogen bonds mediate the characteristic L-shaped molecular structure. tRNAs have two regions of fundamental functional importance: the anti-codon, which is responsible for specific mRNA codon recognition, and the 3' end, to which the tRNAs corresponding amino acid is attached (by aminoacyl-tRNA synthetases). tRNAs cope with the degeneracy of the genetic code in two manners: having more than one tRNA (with a specific anti-codon) for a particular amino acid; and 'wobble' base-pairing, i.e. permitting non-standard base-pairing at the 3rd anti-codon position.
Source: Rfam by way of RNAcentral
GAGGGUAUAGCUCAAGUGGUAGAGCACAUGCUUAGCGUGCACGAGGUCCUGGGUUCAAUCCCCAGAACCUCCU